RNAcentral lists this ribosomal RNA (1401 nucleotides) under synthetic construct. RNAcentral's name for it is "bacterial SSU rRNA". It matches the Rfam family "Bacterial small subunit ribosomal RNA", at positions 32 to 1398 of the family's 1533-position model. The record is from RNAcentral. RNAcentral also lists the same sequence under 2 other names.
AACGCUGGCGGCCUGCUUAACACAUGCAAGUUCAACGGUGAAAGGGACCAGCUUCGCUGGUUCCGGAUGAGUCGGCGAACGGGUCGAGUAACACGCGAGUAACCUGCCUCCUUCUUUCUGGAUAACCGCAUGAAAGUCGUCGGCUAAUACGGGAUAUUCUGGGUCUGUCGCAUGACGGGCCCGGGAAAGAAGCGCCUUUGGGCGUUUUCGGUUGGGGGAUGGGCUCGCGGCCUAUCAGCUUGUUGGUGGGGUGAUGGCCUACCAAGGCGGUGACGGGUAGCCGGCCUGAGAGGGUGGACGGUCACACUGGGACUGAGACACGGCCCAGACUCCUACGGGAGGCAGCAGUGGGGAAUAUUGCACAAUGGGCGCAAGCCUGAUGCAGCGACGCCGCGUGAGGGAUGGAGGCCUUCGGGUUGUAAACCUCUUUCGCCAGUGAAGCAGGCCUGCUCCUUGUGGGUGGGUUGACGGUUGCUGGAUAAGAAGCGCCGGCUAACUACGUGCCAGCAGCCGCGGUAAUACGUAGGGCGCGAGCGUUGUCCGGAGUUAUUGGGCGUAAAGAGCUCGUAGGCGGCUGGUCGCGUCUGUCGUGAAAUCCUCUGGCUUAACUGGGGGCUUGCGGUGGGUACGGGCCGGCUUGAGUGCGGUAGGGGAGACUGGAACUCCUGGUGUAGCGGUGGAAUGCGCAGAUAUCAGGAAGAACACCGGUGGCGAAGGCGGGUCUCUGGGCCGUUACUGACGCUGAGGAGCGAAAGCGUGGGGAGCGAACAGGAUUAGAUACCCUGGUAGUCCACGCCGUAAACGUUGGGCACUAGGUGUGGGGGGCCUUUUCCGGGUCUUCCGCGCCGUAGCUAACGCAUUAAGUGCCCCGCCUGGGGAGUACGGCCGCAAGGCUAAAACUCAAAGGAAUUGACGGGGGCCCGCACAAGCGGCGGAGCAUGCGGAUUAAUUCGAUGCAACGCGAAGAACCUUACCAAGGCUUGACAUGUGCCGGUCGGCUCCGGAGACGGGGCUUCCUCCUUGUGGGGCCGGUUCACAGGUGGUGCAUGGUUGUCGUCAGCUCGUGUCGUGAGAUGUUGGGUUAAGUCCCGCAACGAGCGCAACCCUUGUCCCGUGUUGCCAGCACGUUGUGGUGGGGACUCGCGGGAGACUGCCGGGGUCAACUCGGAGGAAGGUGGGGAUGACGUCAAAUCAUCAUGCCCCUUAUGUCUUGGGCUUCACGCAUGCUACAAUGGCCGGUACAGAGGGCUGCGAUACCGUGAGGUGGAGCGAAUCCCUUAAAGCCGGUCUCAGUUCGGAUCGGUGUCUGCAACUCGACACCGUGAAGUUGGAGUCGCUAGUAAUCGCAGAUCAGCAACGCUGCGGUGAAUACGUUCUCGGGCCUUGUACACACCGCCCGUC